Molecule: long non-coding RNA, 349 nt
Organism: Dermochelys coriacea (leatherback sea turtle)
Lineage: Eukaryota; Metazoa; Chordata; Testudines; Dermochelyidae
Exons: 3
Source: RefSeq, a predicted model, not a curated record
GGAAUAUAAUUAGGUCAACUGUAAGAUGAUGAGUUAUCAUUGAACUAGAGCCUGAUUAAGCCACAUGCAUUGAUGAGUCAUUUCUGUGCUAGGCUCUAGCCAGUCCCCAAGCCAAGAGCUGGUCUAGUGAUUCUCAGGGCAGGUGUCUAAGCCUCAAAGGCGAAACAGGAGGUUGUUACAGAUCAAUGAUGGGAGAAUGAACACUUCCAUGAAUCAUUUGCUGUCCAUUUGGGAUGUAACAGUGGGCAUGGAUCUGAUACCCAAGUCCAUCCAAUAGUCAUUUUAGGGUUUUUGACUAGAGGCUGGCAUACAUACCUGGACGAGGAAUAUGCAAAGAAAUAUACUAUGU